GAAAUUUUAUUCAAGUGACCUGCACACCCAACGUGGGGCUCAAACUCACAACCCAGAGAGAUCAAGAGUCACGUGCUCUACCCACCGAGCCAGCCAGGCUCCCCUAAAACCUACCGCUUUGAGUUCUUAUCUGAGAACUCAAGGUCUCAAGAGGCAAUUUCUACGGUUUGCCUUCUUUCUCUUGCUUCUCUUCCUUUACAAUCCUAGAAUAUUGUGAUUGAAUGAUGAACCCGUGGUGUGAAGGACAGCCAGGCUGGAGAUGUUGUUUCUCUGAAGAUCUUUCACCUUCUCCCCCAGCAGGCAGCAGAGGGGCGCAUCACCUCUAAUCCUUGACGAAGCUGGUUUGCAGCUGGUUCGCCCUCAGGGAAAGCCUCAAUCUACAGCUAGUUUGCUCACACUGCUGUGCUGCAGACGUCCGGGGCUCCUACCUGCGACCUUGGGCGAAUGCUGUUCUGCUACAAAUACUCCAUCAUCACUGAAAGGUGAAAUCUACAAUUUCCAGAUAAAUCACAUUUUCUUCCUCCUGUUUUUCUUAAAAUAAGGUGGGGGGGGGGGUCACUGGUGCAUAGCUGAAGUUUUCUUUUAAUACCCCCCGGGUAAGUCUGACUGGAUAUCAAAAGCUCUUGCUAGAAGCACGGGCAAAAGAUUGUCUACCUGGAGCUGAACACUCAUCACGCCUGUCCAAGGUCCGAGAAUUUGAUCAAGUUGGAUCCAGUUUCCUGCUGCACUGUCCCGUCAGUUAACUCACCAUGGAAAUUAUCAAGUGACCAGUUUUCCAGGUGCUGGUCACUGAUACAGAGGCGGAGAGCCCAUGGGAACCAUUUAACACUCCUCAUUUAUUCUGGGGAAUGCUGAAAGUCAGCAGUGGUGCAGUUAGAAGUGAAAACGGAAGUCUUAGUUACAAUGAUACUGGCAGUUUUCCCCGAGCGAGCGUCACCGUGUGAGCAGCACGCAGUUCCCCGGUGCUGUACGGAGCAUAACCUAUCUAGUCCCCAUAACAACCCCGAGACAGUGUAGGUUAUCAGCACCCCUGCUUGCAGGUGAGGACACUCAGGCACUGAAAGGCUGGUCUGACUUUCCAAGGGGCCCAGCCCUGUGACUGGGAGGGCCAGCACUCAGGGCCAGGCAGUUUGCCUCCAGAGCCCUCGUGUUUGGCCAGCCUGCCAGCGCGCACUGAGAAGCCUUCACCAAGAUUUGCCGUCCCCUCCUGGCUCAGCCUCCCUGAUGUUGAAAAGAAAGAGAAGGUUAAAAGGAAGGCCUACUUAACACUGGCAACUAAUGGACGGAAUGAAGAAGAGAAAGAACAAAACGAUUUAGUCCUCCCCAGAAACAGACUCCAUGGCUCCCGGGAUGAUGCAAUCACAUCUCCCAACGGAAGUAUUUACUAAAUCUUGAUUCUUUUUAAUGGUCUGAACAAGGAAGUUCCCUAGAGAGGCUCCCCAAAACAAACAAAAACAAAAACAAAAGAAAACAAAUCCCGUCAAGUGUGCCUUUUAUGUUCAAAGUGUGGAGCAGACAGCUGAGGCCCUCCCACCUACUUAAUGCCUCAGGGCAGGAGGGAGUGCGCCUGCAGUGACAAGGGGGACGGAGGAGAUCGCAUAAAAAUGAGACAAAAAUCAUGCUUCUCAAAGCUCAUUAAGGAACACAGCACUUUCAUAGUUGGCCACAGCCAUGUACCUUUAUCACCGAUUACCGAAGAGUUUCCAUGAUUUGAUUUACAGCUUCUACUUAGUAAAUUUCUUUGUAGACUCAAUUGUAUAUCAGCGUCAUAACGGAAACUCCACUAGGAAUAGCCACAGGCAGGAUGUAACUAGAACGUAAAAGGAGAUAGUAGUGUUGUGACAGUCAAUGAGAGAGGUAAUGAGCCGAGCCCAGGAGCCUCCCUCCACAAGCCUUCCCUUGAGGCAUGGGCACAGGCAGCCUUCAGAGGAGCCCAGAGCCACGCUGGGGCUGGGUGAUCAGUGCAUGAAAACCCUGGCCAACCAGGACGUGGAAUGGUUCUUCGUUACCAGCCAAGGGAAAACCCGACAGUCCUCCUCUCCAUGAUCACAGCUCAGGGGAAGCAGAGACAUCAGUACACACACAGGAGCUGCUGGUGCUGGGGACGGACGAGGUGGACUAAAAUGAAUCUAAUGCUGAGCGAGAUUUCAGGGCCUUGAAAGAAAAAAGUCUUAUGUGUAAGGGGUUCAGGAAGAUUGCGGUGUGGGCAAGGUAAUGAAGAACGGCACAUUGAUAGGUUGGGAAAUAAACUGGACUGUGAUUUGGUACUGCUCCCGUGGAAGGCAAGUUUGCAGGACUUCCCCAAAUUAGCAGCAUAUGAACACUAUACUACAGUCAUUGCACUUCCAGUUCUGUACGCUGUAGAAAUACCUGCACAAGCGGCCAAAAAUAUGUGUACAGGAAUUCGUAAUCAUAAAACCAUAAAACCAACUUAAUUUCAAAAGCAAUAUGGAAGAGGUUAAAUACGUAUCACACAUACUGUGGAAGAAAUGCCUCUGUCAAACAAAUGCAGAGGACAAUGAUGAUGAGGAUCCACUGAUCACAACAUUAUUGAUAGAGCAAUGCCCAAAUCCAGGCACUCCCUGGGGACGGGACACCAUGGUUGGCCUCCUACUCCCCAUGAAAAAGAACUGAGGCACAUCAACACCAAAGGCUGGCGAAGAUGGGGGAACAACAGGAGCUCUCACUUACUGCUUGGUGAGAACGCAAAAUGGUACAGCCACCGUGGAAGGCAGUCUGGCAAUUUCUCACAAAACUAAAAAUGUUCUUAAUAUAGCAGCCAGCGUCCGGGCUCCCUGUUAGCCAGAGAAGUUGAAAAGUUAUGCCCACACAGAAACCCGCACACGGAUGCCUACGGCAGCUGUACUCACAAUUGCCAAAACUUAGAAGCAACCAAGAUGUCCCUUACAGGUGGAGGGAUAAAGGAACUGUGACACACACACACACACACACACACACACACACACACACACACACAAUAUGAAGUAGUAUUUCAGCACUAAAAGGAAAUGAGCUGCCAAUCCACCAAAGGACAUGGAGGAAUCUUAAGUGCGUAUUAGUAAGUGAAACAGGCCGAUCUGAAAAGGCUACAUACUGUGUGAUUCCAACUACACGACCUUCUGGAAAAGGCAAAACUAUGGAAACAGGAAAAGGAUUCGUGGUUGCCAGAAAGGGGGCGCAGAGGAUGUUUGGGCUAGUGAAACUACUUUGUGUGAUACUUACAACGGUGGACACAUUUCCGGAUACGUUUGUCCAAACCCACCCUGCAAGAGUGAACCCUAAUGUAAACUAUGGACUUUGGAUAGAUUCCUGAGUUGUCACAAAGGCACAAAGGCACUGCAGUGGGGGGUGUUGACAACCAGGCAGGCUAUUUGUGUGUGUGUGUGUGGUGGGGAGGGCAGGAAGGGUGUGGGCAAUCUCUGUCCCUUCCCCUCAGCUUUGCUGUGAACCUAAAAUGCUCUAAAAAAUGAACGAUUAGCAUUUUUUUUUUUUCAAAAAAAAUGUCAGCCCCCGGACCAAUUUUCCCAAGGCAAGCAGUUUGAACAAUGAAGGCAAUCAUGUUUAGAAAU
This is a long non-coding RNA of Felis catus (domestic cat), 3569 nucleotides long. RefSeq lists it as uncharacterized. The record is from RefSeq and is a predicted model, not a curated record. NCBI's taxonomy places the organism in Eukaryota, Metazoa, Chordata, Mammalia, Carnivora, Felidae. The transcript is spliced from 2 exons.